This 75-nucleotide transfer RNA is filed under the name Microcaldota archaeon. RNAcentral's name for it is "tRNA-Arg". It matches the Rfam family "tRNA". Rfam says of the family: Transfer RNA (tRNA) molecules are approximately 80 nucleotides in length. Their secondary structure includes four short double-helical elements and three loops (D, anti-codon, and T loops). Further hydrogen bonds mediate the characteristic L-shaped molecular structure. tRNAs have two regions of fundamental functional importance: the anti-codon, which is responsible for specific mRNA codon recognition, and the 3' end, to which the tRNAs corresponding amino acid is attached (by aminoacyl-tRNA synthetases). tRNAs cope with the degeneracy of the genetic code in two manners: having more than one tRNA (with a specific anti-codon) for a particular amino acid; and 'wobble' base-pairing, i.e. permitting non-standard base-pairing at the 3rd anti-codon position. The record is from RNAcentral. Lineage: Archaea; Nanobdellati; Microcaldota.
GGGCCCGUAGCUCAGCUUGGAUAGAGCGACGCUCUCCUAAGGCGAAGGUCAAGGGUUCAAAUCCCUUCGGGCCCG